This 476-nucleotide ribosomal RNA is filed under the name uncultured bacterium. Its description in RNAcentral is "SSU rRNA". It matches the Rfam family "Bacterial small subunit ribosomal RNA", at positions 26 to 518 of the family's 1533-position model. The record is from RNAcentral.
AGGACGAACGCUGGCGGCGUGCUUAACACAUGCAAGUCGAGCGAGGCCCUUCCUUCGGGGAGGUGCCCUAGCGGCGAACGGGUGAGUAACACGUGGGCAACCUGCCCCUAGCACUGGGAUAACUCCGGGAAACCGGGGCUAAUACCGGAUAUGACCUUCUUGGGCAUCCUCGAAGGUGUAAAGGAUUCUGGCUAGGGAUGGGCCCGCGGCCUAUCAGCUUGUUGGUGGGGUAAUGGCCUACCAAGGCGACGACGGGUAGCCGGCCUGAGAGGGUGACCGGCCACACUGGGACUGAGACACGGCCCAGACUCCUACGGGAGGCAGCAGUGGGGAAUCUUGCACAAUGGGCGAAAGCCUGAUGCAGCGACGCCGCGUGAGGGAUGACUGCCUUCGGGUUGUAAACCUCUUUCAGCAGGGACGAAGCGAAAGUGACGGUACCUGCAGAGAAGCACCGGCAACUACGCGCCAGCAGCCGC